ACGAACGCUGGCGGCGUGCCUAAUACAUGCAAGUCGAACGAACUCUGGUAUUGAUUGGUGCUUGCAUCAUGAUUUACAUUUGAGUGAGUGGCGAACUGGUGAGUAACACGUGGGAAACCUGCCCAGAAGCGGGGGAUAACACCUGGAAACAGAUGCUAAUACCGCAUAACAACUUGGACCGCAUGGUCCGAGUUUGAAAGAUGGCUUCGGCUAUCACUUUUGGAUGGUCCCGCGGCGUAUUAGCUAGAUGGUGGGGUAACGGCUCACCAUGGCAAUGAUACGUAGCCGACCUGAGAGGGUAAUCGGCCACAUUGGGACUGAGACACGGCCCAAACUCCUACGGGAGGCAGCAGUAGGGAAUCUUCCACAAUGGACGAAAGUCUGAUGGAGCAACGCCGCGUGAGUGAAGAAGGGUUUCGGCUCGUAAAACUCUGUUGUUAAAGAAGAACAUAUCUGAGAGUAACUGUUCAGGUAUUGACGGUAUUUAACCAGAAAGCCACGGCUAACUACGUGCCAGCAGCCGCGGUAAUACGUAGGUGGCAAGCGUUGUCCGGAUUUAUUGGGCGUAAAGCGAGCGCAGGCGGUUUUUUAAGUCUGAUGUGAAAGCCUUCGGCUCAACCGAAGAAGUGCAUCGGAAACUGGGAAACUUGAGUGCAGAAGAGGACAGUGGAACUCCAUGUGUA
RNAcentral lists this ribosomal RNA (683 nucleotides) under Lactiplantibacillus plantarum. RNAcentral's name for it is "bacterial SSU rRNA". It matches the Rfam family "Bacterial small subunit ribosomal RNA", at positions 29 to 677 of the family's 1533-position model. Lineage: Bacteria; Bacillati; Bacillota; Bacilli; Lactobacillales; Lactobacillaceae. The record is from RNAcentral.